Long non-coding RNA from Mya arenaria, 252 nucleotides. RefSeq lists it as uncharacterized. The transcript is spliced from 3 exons. The record is from RefSeq and is a predicted model, not a curated record. Lineage: Eukaryota; Metazoa; Mollusca; Bivalvia; Myida; Myidae.
CGGGAGUAUGGCAAGACCAAGCACCUACUUGUGUAUGUGAAGCACAGUCAAUACCAGAGCACGGCAAUAUGACACUAUCGGAAGACCUGAUGGUGGCAACAUUUACUUGUGACUUGGGUUACAUUCUCGUUGGAAGUUCCAAUUCUGUUUGUCAGUCAGACGGCACUGGUUGGAAUAAUGUUCCGCCAAGUUGUAAGCUUUGUGCUGAUAUACCAGCUAUAGAAUCGGGUUCAGGACUUCUUUCAACUGACG